UGGUGCGAUCAUACCAGCAUUAAUGCACGGGUCCCAUCAAAACUCCGCAGUUAAGCACGCUUGGGCUAGAGUAGUAUUGGGAUGGUUGACCUCUCGGGAAUUCCUAGUGUUGCACCCU
Non-coding RNA from Picea glauca (white spruce), 118 nucleotides. NCBI's taxonomy places the organism in Eukaryota, Viridiplantae, Streptophyta, Pinopsida, Pinales, Pinaceae. The record is from Rfam.